AGAAAAGUUUCUAUCGAGGUUAAAGGUUCCCGUACCGCAAACCGACACAGGUGGGUGAGGAGAGUAUCCUAAGGCCCGCGAGAGAACUGUUGUUAAGGAACUCGGCAAAAUGACCCCGUAACUUAGGGAUAAGGGGUGCCACCAUCCGGUGGCCGCAGAGAAUAGGCCCAAGCGACUGUUUACCAAAAACAUAGGUUGCUGCUAAGUCGCAAGACGAUGUAUAGGAGCUGACGCCUGCCCGGUGCUGGAAGGUUAAGGGGAUCUGUUAGAGCAAUCGAAGCAGUGAACUUAAGCCCCAGUAAACGGCGGCCGUAACUAUAACGGUCCUAAGGUAGCG
Molecule: ribosomal RNA, 337 nt
Filed under: Clostridioides difficile
Lineage: Bacteria; Bacillati; Bacillota; Clostridia; Peptostreptococcales; Peptostreptococcaceae
Description: partial 23S ribosomal RNA
Rfam family: Bacterial large subunit ribosomal RNA
Source: RNAcentral